Molecule: long non-coding RNA, 153 nt
Organism: Thalassophryne amazonica
Lineage: Eukaryota; Metazoa; Chordata; Actinopteri; Batrachoidiformes; Batrachoididae
Exons: 3
Source: RefSeq, a predicted model, not a curated record
GUGGAAUACCAGCCUAUCCGUAACCAUUCUCUCCAUAAUUUUACAUAUAACAGGUGUAAGAGCAAUAGGCCUAUACGACAAGGGGCUCCCUGCCUUUUUGCCAGGUUUAAGAAUGGGCACAAUGAUUGCCCGUUUCUAAUCAGCAGGAAGACA